AUUGAACGCUGGCGGCAGGCCUAACACAUGCAAGUCGAGCGGAUGAAGGAAGCUUGCUUCCCGAUUCAGCGGCGGACGGGUGAGUAAUGCCUAGGAAUCUGCCUAUUAGUGGGGGAUAACUCGGGGAAACUCGGGCUAAUACCGCAUACGUCCUACGGGAGAAAGUGGGGGAUCUUCGGACCUCACGCUAAUAGAUGAGCCUAGGUCGGAUUAGCUAGUUGGUGAGGUAACGGCUCACCAAGGCGACGAUCCGUAGCUGGUCUGAGAGGAUGAUUAGCCACACUGGAACUGAGACACGGUCCAGACUCCUACGGGAGGCAGCAGUGGGGAAUAUUGGACAAUGGGCGAAAGCCUGAUCCAGCCAUGCCGCGUGUGUGAAGAAGGUCUUCGGAUUGUAAAGCACUUUAAGUUGGGAGGAAGGUCUGUAAGCUAAUAUCUUGCAGUCUUGACGUUACCAACAGAAUAAGCACCGGCUAACUCUGUGCCAGCCGCCGCGGUAA
This 500-nucleotide ribosomal RNA is filed under the name uncultured bacterium. RNAcentral describes it as "partial 16S ribosomal RNA". It matches the Rfam family "Bacterial small subunit ribosomal RNA", at positions 30 to 523 of the family's 1533-position model. The record is from RNAcentral.